This 253-nucleotide ribosomal RNA is filed under the name uncultured bacterium. Its description in RNAcentral is "partial 16S ribosomal RNA". It matches the Rfam family "Bacterial small subunit ribosomal RNA", at positions 524 to 776 of the family's 1533-position model. The record is from RNAcentral.
GACAGAGGUGCCGAGCGUUAGGCGGAAUCACUGGGCUUAAAGCGUGCGCAGGCGGUGAUGUAAGACAGGUGUGAAAUCCCCGGGCUUAACCUGGGAACUGCAUUUGUGACUGCAUCGCUGGAGUGCGGCAGAGGGGGAUGGAAUUCCGCGUGUAGCAGUGAAAUGCGUAGAUAUGCGGAGGAACACCGAUGGCGAAGGCAAUCCCCUGGGCCUGCACUGACGCUCAUGCACGAAAGCGUGGGGAGCAAACAGG